RNAcentral lists this ribosomal RNA (253 nucleotides) under uncultured bacterium. RNAcentral's name for it is "partial 16S ribosomal RNA". It matches the Rfam family "Bacterial small subunit ribosomal RNA", at positions 524 to 776 of the family's 1533-position model. The record is from RNAcentral.
UACGUAGGGGGCGAGCGUUGUCCGGAUUUAUUGGGCGUAAAGAGCGUGUAGGCGGCCAGGUAGGUCUGCUGUGAAAACUCGAGGCUCAACCUCGAGACGUCGGCGGAAACCAUCUGGCUAGAGUCCGGAAAAGGAGAGUGGAAUUCCUGGUGUAGCGGUGAAAUGCGCAGAUAUCAGGAAGAACACCCGUGGCGAAGGCGGCUCUCUGGGACGGUACUGACGCUGAGACGCGAAAGCGUGGGGAGCGAACAGG